UACGUAGGGUGCAAGCGUUGUCCGGAAUUAUUGGGCGUAAAGAGCUUGUAGGCGGUUUGUCGCGUCUGCUGUGAAAUUUCGGGGCUCAACCCCGAACUUGCAGUGGGUACGGGCAGACUAGAGUGUGGUAGGGGAGACUGGAAUUCCUGGUGUAGCGGUGAAAUGCGCAGAUAUCAGGAGGAACACCGGUGGCGAAGGCGGCAUCCUGGACCGACACUGACACUGAGGAGCGAAAGCCAGGGGAGCAAACGGG
This 253-nucleotide ribosomal RNA is filed under the name uncultured bacterium. RNAcentral's name for it is "partial 16S ribosomal RNA". It matches the Rfam family "Bacterial small subunit ribosomal RNA", at positions 524 to 776 of the family's 1533-position model. The record is from RNAcentral.